RNAcentral lists this long non-coding RNA (3518 nucleotides) under Homo sapiens (human). RNAcentral describes it as "HSALNT0083958". Lineage: Eukaryota; Metazoa; Chordata; Mammalia; Primates; Hominidae. The record is from RNAcentral.
UCCUGGGUUCAGCUUCCCCUGUGAGAAGGACACAUAUAACAAUAAGAAAUUAAGGGUUCGGGAAGGAGAGGGGCCACCCUGUGCUCACCCCCACACAGCCCUGCAGGAAAACCCAGUGAACGGUGCCCAGGUGCCUGGCUGACUCCUGGGCCGGGAGGGGACAUGGAGGGACAGUGGCCAUCAGGCUCUUUGUGGACACUGGGGAUUAACUACUGCUCGUUCUCAGCUCACUGGUGUCCAGCCCAUCAAUAACCUCAUCAAUAACCUAACUUUGGUCAAUUAGGUUGGAGUCCGAAGGUGACUGAUUUGCGGCAAGGUUUUCUCUCUUCCUCUGUAAAGUGGAGUCCUUCAUCAUUCAUCGCAAGUAGACAACUCGCUUCCUAAUGCCUCUGCAUUAAGGAGCCAGGCGCUGCAGCUCUUUGGUACGUGACCUCAAAUAGAUUCAUGCGUCCUUCUGCUGACACGGGGGGCGGAGCGGCCGGGGUGCGCGGUAAAGAUGGGGCGGCGCGGCCGGGGCUCGCCAGCACCAGCCCUGGAACCCCAUGGGGGACCUCGACAACAGCGCCUUUGCGGCGUGGGCCCCUUUCUGCAGCUCCUCCACCCGCGCGCUGUCGGCUCCGGGACACUGGGGCUUUGAAGGGCGCCAGUUCCCAGCCGCACCUGCACGCCUAGGAGGGCGCAGGCCGCGUGUCCCUGUGGGAGGAAGGCCCCGGCAACCUGCAAAGACCUCACGUCACAGAAACUUGCGGCGUUUGCCCCCGAUGCGCGCGUCAGGUGCUCCGUCCCUUCCAGGUGGCAGAGGAGAGGGAAGGGUCGCGCCUGGUGGGGGCCUGAGAGCCACCGGGCUGCGGUGCGCGAGUGUGGACACCGCCCCGCCUUCUGCGUCUACAGCCCUGGGUUCUGGGACCUUUGGAAACCGCUUUGGACGAAGCUGAGCAUCUCUUUCCCCACGCUGACCUCCCCCAUAGACUCCGGAUGGGAGUAAAUGAGGGUCCUGGGAAAUCCAGAAACUCUAGAGAAGCUUGUUUGCCAAACCUUGCUUUGGGCGGUGGAGACAGAAUAUCAUGUCCCAGAUCAGCGUGUGGUGACUGUGGAGGCAUUUACACACAGCACACUCCAGCUCUGCCACUGGGCCGGCUGAGGUGGCUGCGGUACACGGCGCCCAUCCUGAGCCCCAGGUUCCUCACAUGUCAACAGCAUGAAAAGUGCCUCUAAGACAUCCACAGGUGUGCAGUGUUAAAGCAGGCAGCGCCUCAGCUUGGUUAGCUCCCUUAAGGACUGCGGCUCCCUUAGGACAAGGCUCUGUCCCUCAGAGCACUGAGUGCGAUCUCAUGCUGGCAUCUUAGAGACAUUGUAUUCACCAGGUAAGAUGGAUUCACAUCUGCUGGGUGCACGAACACUUCCUCCUUCCUUGCCACCAGCCAGCAUCACAACCAGCCUGGCCAGGCUCCCGUCCCAGCCCAGCCUAGCAGCUAACCCCAGCUCCAUCCCCCAGCAAGCCCCUCUGCCUGCACCUCAGCUUCUUCAUGGAAGACGAGUCAGGUCAUGAUGCCACCAGGGAGCGUGUUUCCAUGUUGAACUGAGACACUAAGCCCUUGACAAAUGUUGGCCAAGAAAAAAAAGGGGCUCCAAGAGGGGAGCUGUGGCUCAGGUAGAAGACGGUGAAUGAGCAUUGCCUGAAUCAGAGUUAGCUACUCUGGUUACACAGGUGUCCCCGGCAGGUUGGUCAAAAGCCCUUCCCUGAGUCCCGUGAUAAGUGUGGGGAGGGAGGCAAAUCAAAGACCCCUACACACCUCCUGCAUGGAUGGCCAGAGCGCUGGUCCCACCUCCUUCCUUCCAAACUGCAACCCCGAUCAGCACAGCAGAGAAGUCUCCUGUGGCAGGGACCAGUAAUUCAGUGCUUCCCCUGGAGAGUCUGGGAUUGCACAGAACACCAGAGGCUGGGGAUUUAUUUGUUCACCAACAUUCAUUCAACAAACACUUACUGAGGCCAACACUGGGAAUGGAGACGAACUUCCCUGUCCUCAUGGAGCUUGCUUUCAAAAGGGAAGGAGGCAGACAGUAAACAAAACAAGCAAGUCAAUAUACAGCAUGAUGCAGAAAAGGUGUGAUGCCACCCUCUUGCCUGAGUUUAUAACAAGCAGAUGAUGUUGUCCUAAGAAUUAAUUUCAGCCGGUGAAAGAGUACAGGCAAAAAACGUGGUCUCGGACUUUCCGGUGAUGCUUAAGAACAUAGUUGCAGUUUUUGUUCUGAUUCUUUGUGCAUCUCGCGCUAAUGAAGGAUUCUGCCAUGAUUGCCACCUCUGGAGACGUCACAGCCAGCACAGCCAUGACCAGGGAUGAACUUGGCCAUUGUCCAGCAGCACCAUGGGAGGACCAGCUGCUGUAAGUGAAGGUCAUCAUCCAUCUGAUUUGCUGGCUUUUUGCAACUACUGCGGUGGAAGUCUUAGAGUAGCCACCUUCUCUGUACUCAGACCUUCACUUCGCCAGAUGUCAGCACAGCAGUGUCAGCAGCUUCGUCAAACACAAACACCACCACCUCUCUGGAUCAGAAGCACAUGGAAAGCCCACCUUGCAAGAAGACCCAGCUAUUCCAAAAGUACCCAUAUCCCUGUAGCAUCCUCUUAGCUGAAUGUCUCUACUCCUUAAACUUGUACCACUUUGAAGAGUAAAAAUUUAAAUUCAUUCAUAUUAUCAUUUUUUAGUUUUUAGUAUAAGUGGAGCUGUUUAUCGGCCAUUUGUAUGUCCUUUUCUUUUUUUUGCAAAUUACUCCUUUGCCAAAUUUUCUCUCAAAUGACUCAUCUUUUUCUUAUUGAUUUGCAGAAGCUAUUUACAUAUUAUGGAUGUGGGGUGUCUAACAUACACAGCAAAUACUUUGUCCCAGUGUGUCACUUUUUAAAAAAAUUCUUAUAAUGUCUUUCAUCUUUAAAAAAUUAUUAAGCUAUUGUGAGCUUUUAUGCCUUUUCAGUUUAUUUUCUUACAUAGAUAAUUAUAUGAAGUGCAAAUAGGGGCAGUGUUAGUCUCAUCUUCCCAAGGCUGCACCUCAGAUGUGGAAUGUUGACAGCAACAUCUGUUACCUUGUUUCUGUUUUUAGGAUUUUAGCGUUAAGGCCAGGCAUAAUGGUUCAUGCCUGUAAUUCCAGCACUUUGGGAGGCCGAGGUGGGCAGAUCACUUGAAGCCAGGAGUUCAAGACCAGCCUGGCCAACAUGGAGAAACCCUCUCUAUUUUUAAAUACAUUUAAAAUGUUAACAAUUAAAACAAAAUAUUUUACCGUUAGUAUGAUGCUUGAUACAGGAUUUCUGGUACAUACGCCUUAUCAAAUUAAAUAAGUUUCCUUUUACUCUUGUUUAUUGUUAUUUUUUAAAAUAAGGAAUGAAUCUUGGAUUUUAGUGUAUCAAUAAUUAUAUUUUAUUCUUUAACUUCAUAAUAUUCCUUAUAAUUCCUUAUGUCAUAUUAAAGAUGUAAAUUCAUAUAUAUUUUAUCAUACAAAUGAUUAAUAAAUGUAUAAGCAUGUCAUUA